Molecule: unclassified non-coding RNA, 375 nt
Filed under: uncultured fungus
Lineage: Eukaryota; Fungi
Description: sequence contains ITS1
Rfam family: 5.8S ribosomal RNA (bases 1-97)
Source: RNAcentral
GAAAUGCGAUACGUAAUGCGAAUUGCAGAACUCAGUGAAUCAUCAAAUCUUUGAACGCACAUUGCGCUUCCUUGGAAGCAUGCUUGGCUCAGUGUCCGUCACACCCCUCUUCCACUCCCUGUGGGUGGCAAGGUAGCCUGAGAGUCGCGGCGCCCCGGGUGGGCGGCGCGUCUCUUGAAGUGUGGCCAUGGGGAGCGGCAGGCUGUCUGCUGCCUCAGUGCGGCAUCUGCAUGGUAGGUGGGGUCCUUCCCACACUUGUCCAGCAGUGCUGCCAGGGCAGUGCGCCUGCGGUAUGCUCGCCGAGCCCGCGUGCGGGUCUCGCCCCUUCGUUUUGACACCGGACCUGAGUGAAGCAAGAGGACCCGCUGAAUUUAA